AAUGGAGUCACUGCCCCACUGGCAUUCUAAGGGACCCUAUGUGCCCCCUUUUUGCUACGGCUUGUGAAGCCGUGCCCUAAUCUCCGAAGGCCUGGCGACAGGAGCUGUGACUACACAAGCAGUCGUUCCGGAAGGGUGGUUGAAUGUGCAUUUGGCAGAUUGAAAUCCCUGUGGCGAUGCUCACAGAGCCAUCCGCUGCCAGUGUCAGCAAUGCCGCCCAUUGUUUUUGCCUGCUAGGGUCUGCCCAAUGAGUGCCAGGACACAGAGAAGAGGCCUGGUCUGUGGCUAGGACUGGUUUCCAGCAACUCCCAACUUCCAGUGCAGAGGAAGGCUAGUCACACAAACACCCUGCCUCAGUUUCCCCAAGUGAAGAGUUCUGAUGCAAUGCAGGAGAGCCUGGCAAAUGAUUGCAAAUGAGCAGCAUACGACUGCAAACACCACAGGACAGCCCUCGAGUCCUUACAAAGCAAAAAUAAACCUGAUCAGCAGCCACCAGCCACGGGAGCAAAGGAAAAAAUAACUCUGCUUUGGAAUCUGUUUGUCUAACGGCUCCCCCGGAACCCGCCUUUGCCCACCACUGCAUGUACAAAGUGUCCUGCAGCAGGAACAGCCAGAGCGUGUGCUCAGCUGCAC
Molecule: long non-coding RNA, 633 nt
Organism: Mauremys mutica (yellowpond turtle)
Lineage: Eukaryota; Metazoa; Chordata; Testudines; Geoemydidae
Exons: 3
Source: RefSeq, a predicted model, not a curated record